This 497-nucleotide ribosomal RNA is filed under the name uncultured bacterium. RNAcentral's name for it is "partial 16S ribosomal RNA". It matches the Rfam family "Bacterial small subunit ribosomal RNA", at positions 28 to 507 of the family's 1533-position model. The record is from RNAcentral.
GAUGAACGCUGGCGGCGUGCCUAAUACAUGCAAGUCGAGCGAACGGACGAGAAGCUUGCUUCUCUGAUGUUAGCGGCGGACGGGUGAGUAACACGUGGAUAACCUACCUAUAAGACUGGGAUAACUUCGGGAAACCGUAGCUAAUACCGGAUAAUAUUUUGAACCGCAUGGUUCAAAAGUGAAAGACGGUCUUGCUGUCACUUAUAGAUGGAUCCGCGCUGCAUUAGCUAGUUGGUAAGGUAACGGCUUACCAAGGCAACGAUGCAUAGCCGACCUGAGAGGGUGAUCGGCCACACUGGAACUGAGACACGGUCCAGACUCCUACGGGAGGCAGCAGUAGGGAAUCUUCCGCAAUGGGCGAAAGCCCGACGGAGCAACGCCGCGUGAGUGAUGAAGGUCUUCGGAUCGUAAAACUCUGUUAUUAGGGAAGAACAUAUGUGUAAGUAACUGUGCACAUCUUGACGGUACCUAAUCAGAAAGCCACGGCUAACUACGUG